CCUGGCUGUCACAAAAUGACUCCUCACAAUGCAUUUCCUAACAUGCUGCCAGAUCUUGUUUCAACAUUAUCAUCCUCCCGGGCUUUCGUUUCUGGUAUUCCACGAGUGGAUUUUCCGAGCUCUUCAUUAUAAUGCAGGUGGGGAAACUGAGGCACGGGGGGACACCAUCCAGUUCGAUCCCAGUCAUUGUGGGAGAGGGAUGGGAGCAGAGCCAGGCAGCGAGCUGCCCCGUGCCCUGCCUGAUUUGGCCCUGGCCGUGGGUGCCCAGAUGUGCAUCGCUGCCUCCAGAUGUGCAGGAGGCGAGGAGGGCUGGGCAGCCUCGCUGGGGAGGCCGUGGGAAGAGGACGGACGGGGAGCACCGGAGCAGACCACAGUUAUUGAUCACAACCUGAGCAGUGAAUCACCACAAACACGGGGGGAAGGAGCAGGAGAGAUGCUGCUCUGCUGCCUCAGGUUUGCAUUUCUUUUUCUUUCUUUUUUUUUCUUUCUUUUUUAUUUUAUUUUUUUAUUUUUAAUUUUCUUUAUUUUCUUCACAGAAAGGGCCCUGCAGCAUUCCCCUCCCCGACUGUGGCCCAGCCACCCCAUCCCCAGCUGAAAGCAUGACAGCCCCGCACACCCCUGAUGGUCACGGUGUGGCGUGCUGGGCAUUAUAUCAAAAAACCCGAAACCUGAUCCUCGCUGUGGUGUGCUCUUAUAUGAGAUCCCAUCAAGCCUGGCUUUCUGGUCUGUAAGGAGCUCCAGGAGCAGGAAGUUUAAAUUGGAAAAACUGCAAAUGAGGCACUCAUGGGGAGCAUUAAAGCACCAGGAAACCCACUGAGACCUUGAGCUUGCUCAUCUCGUCCUGGAGCUUUGAUGCUGUGGGGGACAACUCUUUGGGAGAUGGGUAUGCUGGCCAGGAAGGCCAGCCUGGUGAAUAUGGUGACGCCUUUGGAUCCUAAACCCUGUGCAUCUGCUUGUGCAUCACCUUGCCCUCACAUUGUGCUCAUCCUCAGCACGGGGCUGGGUUACCAAACUGUGCUGCAACCUUGGCUGACCUUCUUUGCCAUUCCCUGCCCAUCCUUGGCCUUGUUUACCCCGACUGGAGGUUUUUGGAGGCAGGGACAGUCACUUACGUGUGUACUAUACUUAGCACAAGGGGUUUCAGGCUUGGCUGGGUUCUCUAAUAGCAAUGAAUAUUCCAUUAAAAAAAAAAAAGUUACUUGAUUAAAAGAAAGCUAUUUAGACUACAAAGUCAAAGCACUGCCAAGUUUAAUAGUUAUCCCUCCAACCUUCAUUCUGCCUCUAAAACUUUUCCAAAUGAAUAAAAUUAAGAGAUGCUCCA
RNAcentral lists this long non-coding RNA (1321 nucleotides) under Anas platyrhynchos platyrhynchos (common mallard). RNAcentral describes it as "lncRNA (ENSAPLG00000020007.1)". The record is from RNAcentral. Lineage: Eukaryota; Metazoa; Chordata; Aves; Anseriformes; Anatidae.